UUGGAGGGCAAGUCUGGUGCCAGCAGCCGCGGUAAUUCCAGCUCCAAUAGCGUAUAUUAAAGUUGUUGCAGUUAAAAAGCUCGUAGUUGAAUUUCGGGAUCAGAGUGUCGGUCGUGCCUCGGUACGCACUGGUAUUAUUGGUUCCUACCUUCUGAAGAACCGCGAUGUCAUUAAUUUGGUGUCGUGGGGAAUCAGGACUGUUACUUUGAAAAAAUUAGAGUGUUUAAAGCAGGCUUACGCUUGAAUACAUUAGCAUGGAAUAAUGAAAUAGGACGUUUGAUUCUAUUUUGUUGGUUUCUAGGGUUGACGUAAUGAUUAAUAGGGAUAGUUGGGGGCAUUAGUAUUCAAUUGUCAGAGGUGAAAUUCUUGGAUUUAUUGAAGACUAACUACUGCGAAAGCAUUUGCCAAGGAUGUUUUCAUUAAUCAAGAACGAAAGUUAGGGGAUCGAAGACGAUCAGAUACCGUCGUAGUCUUAACCAUAAACUAUGCCGACUAGGGAUCGGAUGAUGUUAAUUUUUUAAUGACUCAUUCGGCGCCUUACGGGAAAC
RNAcentral lists this ribosomal RNA (548 nucleotides) under uncultured Glomeromycotina. Its description in RNAcentral is "SSU rRNA". It matches the Rfam family "Eukaryotic small subunit ribosomal RNA", at positions 548 to 1098 of the family's 1831-position model. Lineage: Eukaryota; Fungi; Glomeromycota. The record is from RNAcentral.